Long non-coding RNA from Poecile atricapillus (Black-capped chickadee), 2524 nucleotides. RefSeq lists it as uncharacterized. Lineage: Eukaryota; Metazoa; Chordata; Aves; Passeriformes; Paridae. The transcript is spliced from 3 exons. The record is from RefSeq and is a predicted model, not a curated record.
GCUGUCCGUGAGGGCGGUAACGGAAGAGCUCCGACGUCGAAAUUUACCCCGGGGCGCGGCCGGAGUAGCUCGCCCGGAGCAGCCGUUAAAGACAGCCUUGCCAAAGCUCCGCGAUGCCUCUCUCCUGUCUCCGCUACCCGGAAGAACAAGCGCACCUCAUUAAAAAAAAAAACAAAACUGAAAAACAAAACACCAAAACCCAAACUUGGUCAUCUGGCGUGUUCAGCAUGGAGAAGAACGAGGGGAAACCUCAUCGCAUCGUACAACUUCCUCGUGAGGGGCAGCGGAGGGGUAGCUCCGAUAUCUGCUCUCUGCGACCAGUGACAGGACCCGAGGGAACGGCUGGAGGUGUGUCAGGGGAGAUUUAGGCAAAUACCUCAGGAAAAGAUGCUUAGCCCGGAGGAUGGUUGGGCACUAAACAGGUUCCCAGGGCAGUGGUCAGGGUACCAAGGCUGCUAGAGCUCAAGGAGUGUUUAGACAAGGCUCUUAGGGACAGGGUGGGAUUGUUGGGGUGUGUGCUGUGCAGGAUUUGGACUGGAUGAUACUAUGGGUCCCCUCCUACUCAGAAGAUUCUGUGAUUUCUGGAAAAAUACAACAGCAAAAACUAACUAAAUAAAACAAGCAAAAACCCAAACAAACAAAAAAUAACCAAAAACCCCUUCAAUAACUUAAGGCUAGAAACAAACCAAUCACAGUCCCCAAAGACUUUUCUAACAAGGCCUGAGUAGUGGAGCUGUGUUUCCAGGGAAGAUGAGGAGUCUCCACCCCUGGAGAGAACUUUCCUGUGAAUCAUCUGAAGUGAACCCAGGGCUCUUCCAGUUGUGCAGGAGGAGACUCCACAUGUACUUGAAGAUCCCUUUAUCACAGAACUGGACAGAAGAGCAUGGAAACAUUAGAGAUGCAGUCAUUUGUUAUCAGCAGCACCCUGGCAGUGCUGGUGUUGAACGUUCUCUGUAAGUUGGAAAAGGACAAAAACCCUCUUGCCAACAGAGGCAUGUGAGCAAUACUGGCUGAGACAUCUUGGCCCUUGAACAGCAUCAGUCUGCACUGGGUAGGAAGAAUUGAUCCAACAUGCCUCUGCAGAUCUUAUGCAGAUAUUGUCUGGACUCUCAUUCCUGCAAAGCAGCUUGGCACCAGUAUGGGGAAGUGUCCCCAUUCAUACCUUCAGACCUGAGUGUGCUCCCAAAGAGAUCAGCAAAGAAAUAAAAUGUUCAACUUAAGGAUAACUUGCUGCCUUCCAGAGAAUUCAUCAUUUCCAGUUUGAAAAGAGAAAUCCAGGAAGCACCAAUAAAUCUAUUUUGACAGUGGAGUAAAGAGCUGAAAAAUGAGUAACCUGUCAAGGUAACGUGACUUAAUUCUUAGAGAAAGAUCCUUUUUUUAUAAAUGAAAAAAAAAUACCAGCAAAGUGAAAUAGCAGGAAAUGUCACACUUGAUUGUCUCUCAGUAGGACAGAAAUUAAAUAAAAAGAAGGCAAGGUAAACGACAGGGUUUUACAUUUAACGAGGGAAGUAAUAAAAUAAACUGAGAAUAAUAACAUCCACUGAAAAUCUAUGCACAGCAACCUGAGUAUGUCAAAGGGGUGUGUUCCCACAGAAACAUUCAUUUAACGUACACAUUUUUGUUUGAAGAAAAGGCAGGUUCUAUGCUGGGAGUGGAGGAUUCGUGGAGAUACUGUGAUCGGACAUACGGGGGCAGCCUUACCUGCAGGUUAUCACAGCCUUGCACCGCGGGGCCACUGCAGCCGUUGCGCUUUGGGCUCCCAUGGCAAGCUCUGGAGCUUUGCCCCUUUCUAAACAAGGAACCCAUGCAGGCUUACCAGAUUUCGUUAUUCAAAGGGUGAGCACUGUCCCUUUAAAUAAACACAGAGAUCUCAGUCCAAAUGGGAACUGAAACCCAGGCUACCGUCGGUUAUGAAACCUCCCUUUCAGAGCUCACAGGCUCAGGGCCCGCUGCUACACUUCGAGGUUAAUAAUCAGUUUUAAUAUUCACUUAGGGGGCUGUAAAAAAAGAAUGAAAAUUUCCUAAUUUGAAAAUGGACUUGAUUGGCAGCUUUAUUAUCUCUAUAAGGUGCAUGGCAUUCCACACAAUCAAGUCAUUUUUUAAAAUAAUCUCACUGCUUAAGUCGUACAUGCUGCUAAUUGCAUUUUAAUAAGUCUCUUUAAAAUCUUUCCAUAUUUUUUAAUAUCCUAAUAUUAGAUAAGUGAUUGCUGGGGACACUGGAGGGCACUGAGGUUUAUAGAAAGAGGAACACCAUAAUGAAGCUUUAUUGGGAUGGCAUCACCAAACAAUUGCUGUGAUAGCAACACUCCCAAGCUUGGAGAAAUGCCAGCCAUUCCCCGCCUAGAACUGACACAGGCACAAGCCUCCCUGGCUCAGGACUGACAGAAAAUGGAUGCUUUCUGGAUCAUAAAAUGGCCUCUUUCCAUCUUGGAAAUGGCUGAGGAACUGUCCACUUUGGAUUGGGAAAGGAUUUUUCUCCAUUGAACAGUGACUUUGAAACAUUUUUGUUUUGCUUGGUUCUGGC